Molecule: ribosomal RNA, 253 nt
Filed under: uncultured bacterium
Lineage: Bacteria
Description: partial 16S ribosomal RNA
Rfam family: Bacterial small subunit ribosomal RNA
Source: RNAcentral
UACGAAGGGUGCUAGCGUUGUUCGGAAUCACUGGGCGUAAAGCGCGCGUAGGUGGCUUAGCAAGUCAGAGGUGAAAUCCCAGGGCUUAACCCUGGAAUUGCCUUUGAAACUGCUAAGCUUGAGUACUGGAGGGGAUGGUGGAAUUUCUAAUGUAGCGGUGAAAUGCGUAGAUAUUAGAAGGAACACCGGUGGCGAAGGCGACCAUCUGGACAGUCACUGACACUGAGGCGCGAAAGCGUGGGGAGCAAACAGG